UACGGAGGGUGCGAGCGUUGUUCGGAAUCACUGGGCGUAAAGCGCGUGUAGGCGGCCCACUAAGUCUGAUGUGAAAGCCCGGGGCUCACCCCCGGAACUGCAUUGGAAACUGGCUGACUAGAGUGCGGUAGAGGGGUGUGGAAUUCCCGGUGUAGCAGUGAAAUGCGUAGAUAUCAGGAGGAACACCGGUGGCGAAGGCGGGUCUCUGGGCAGUAACUGACGCUGAGGAGCGAAAGCGUGGGGAGCGAACAGG
This 253-nucleotide ribosomal RNA is filed under the name uncultured bacterium. RNAcentral's name for it is "partial 16S ribosomal RNA". It matches the Rfam family "Bacterial small subunit ribosomal RNA", at positions 524 to 776 of the family's 1533-position model. The record is from RNAcentral.